GACGUAGGAGGCGAGCGUUAUCCGGAUUUACUGGGCGUAAAGCGCACGCAGGUGGCCCGCUAAGUUGGCUGUGAAAGCUCCUGGCUUAACUGGGAGAGGUCGGUCAAGACUGGCGGGCUUGAGGUUGGGAGAGGGGUGUGGAAUUCCCGGUGUAGUGGUGGAAUGCGUAGAUAUCGGGAGGAACACCAGUGGCGAAGGCGGCACCCUGGCCCACACCUGACGCUGAGGUGCGAAAGCGAGGGGAGCGAACGGG
RNAcentral lists this ribosomal RNA (253 nucleotides) under uncultured bacterium. RNAcentral's name for it is "partial 16S ribosomal RNA". It matches the Rfam family "Bacterial small subunit ribosomal RNA", at positions 524 to 776 of the family's 1533-position model. The record is from RNAcentral.